GUUUAUGAUAACGCGGAAAUAAAAGUCACUAGCUACGUGGUUCUCGUUCUUCGGAUUAAUUCGAUAAACCUCGAUCACGAAGCGGGAAGCGUAAUGUGGCAUGGUCAACUUGUCGGAGAAGAUUCCAAGAGCGGUCGCAAGGUAUGGGGAUCUGUCAUCUGUGCCUGAUCAGGGAUUUCGAAGACUGCACUGGAAGCCUGCCUUAUCAGGUCUGCCACUGCUGGAUGAGAUUUCAAGUGGUCCGACAUUUCCUGUAAAAGUAUGCGUGGCAUUGGAGAGAAUUAGAAAUUGAGUUGCCGAAAAGACAAGGGAAUAAUUACCUUCAAAUGUUGCUUGAAAAAUUUCUCAGCAACAGGACACGCGCAGUCCGUGUUACAAAACGCGUAACUCUGGCUUUCUUGCAUAGUAACUUUAGCUAGGUUUUGAAAGCCAUCGGUCUCUAAUAGGGCAUACAGUAAUGCAACUGCGCUCUGAACAGUUCUUCUAUAUCUAGUGCUAUACACAACGAUGUCUUUGCUGGAUAUGGUGCCGUUUCCAAGAUUAAGCUUAUGUCUUUAGAGUUGGCUGGCAGCAUAGGAAAACCAUGGAACGGUCCCAGGAAUUGUGCCCAUGCUGUUCUGGAAUAACUGGAGACGUUUUGUAGAAAAUUUACAUAAUUCUGGUACAAGUUCUCUAACUCAGGUAACAGAAGUGCAGGAUAAAAAUGAUCUGUGCAUGAGUGUGUAUAUUAAAGGGUUUAAAUACAUAGCUUACAGGAGAAAGGGUGAAAUAAUGUAAAAGGACGAAGACAAAAGUCGCAACAUCAGUGUCCGGAUUACCAGCAACGAGGAGGAAGAUCCAUACGCUUAGAAUCACGUAGCAGUAAAACGCUCGAUGCUGGUAGGACAGCCGAACCAUUUCCGCCAACAUUCUCUGGCCGAUCCUGGACCGUGCCAGAUCCUUCCAAUUCGAAUGUCGCGACCUCGAUGACGCCGACGAGGACGUCGUUGGCGACGAUAACACCGAGUCAAACAACCAGAAUAAAUCCGGUUCAACGAUGCUUCUCCAAACUGCAUCCUCCUUUUUCAACGGCCCAGUCACAUAAUCCUUCCGUCACGAUCUCCGAGCGAUCGAGGGACACAGGGAUCAUGCGAACGACGUCGUGGAGAGAAUUUUUUACGCCCGUCCGACUUCUUAACACCGGCUCGAACAGGAAUAUGUCGAUGGGCGCAGGCGCUUGUCUAUUUUUUGACAUCUCUUUCAAUUAAAUAUAUAUUAUUCUUAGGUAUUUUCUUCUUUGUUUGCUUUUUAAAUUUCUGACUGAUGGACAUUAAAGGCGUUCAAUAGCGUUAAUUAUAUUCAGCUCUUUAUGUUAGUAUAUUAAAGGAAUGUAGACACAGUAUCGACAAUUAUCAUUCAAAUUAUUGUUAGAUAUUAAAAUUUUUCAUAUUUUUCAGUUAUGCGGAUACGAUUUGGCACGUUGGUUGAAAAGUAUUGAAUUUUUUUGCGCCCCUUCGUUAUUGCUGCAGGUUAGUAUCUAAUACACAUGCUGCUCUUAUCUUUCCAACAAAAAUGUUUCUUUGGAUUUUAAUUUUUAUUUCAUGUUUGCUGUUUUAGAUACAUGGAUAACAGUACACGUUUAUGGGGAGAAGGCUGAUAAACAAUCUUUUUCUUGAAAAUAAUUUAAGAUUACUUUAUUUCUUAUUACUUCAAUUAUUUAACAUUCUUGAAAUGUUAAAUCUUUUAAAUUCACGGUAAUAACAACGAAGUUGUGCUAUAGAAUGAUAUGUGUGGGUCAAUUUGACAGCCUGUCGUUGUCAUUUUCUGUAAGCUCACCCUCGCUUUUUACCCUUAUAUCGUUAGAAGUAUGAUUAGACUAAAAAAAUGUCACUCGCGAUGAAAAUCGAACGAAACAACAGCCUUGUUAGAACAUUUUUCACCGACUACCACAGGUAAGUCGCGCACCUUAUGACAGGAGUAGGUUAUCGGAGCGCGCAUGGGCACAUCGUUCACCUUCCCAUUGGUCCGCCCUCUGUUUUAAAUCCAUUUCGAUCCGCGGUCAAGAGAACUGCGAAGAAGUUAAUUCUUUCUGUGGAAAUGGAAUGUCAAAAAGAAACAAAGGACAGUAACUGGAAAAGGGAUUGCUAAAGAGCAAGAGAAGUUAUUUCCUGAAAAUGAAGAAUUAUAUGAAUUUCAUGCCUUUCUUGCUUCUCUUCCUGGUGCAUUUUCCAAAAUGGCGGUGGAAGACUAAUUAUUUUAAGAUCAGGGAAGUUUGCACAGUGCUCAUUAGGCAAACGUUUAUCAAAUGCAGGUCCAGGGCCGGCCCUGAGCCUAGGCAGACUAGGCGGCCCCCUAG
Long non-coding RNA from Osmia lignaria (orchard mason bee), 2335 nucleotides. RefSeq lists it as uncharacterized. NCBI's taxonomy places the organism in Eukaryota, Metazoa, Arthropoda, Insecta, Hymenoptera, Megachilidae. The record is from RefSeq and is a predicted model, not a curated record.